UACGUAGGGCGCAAGCGUUGUCCGGAUUCACUGGGUGUAAAGGGUUCGUAGGCGGGAAGGUAAGUCCGCGGUGAAAUCUCACAGCUCAACUGUGAAACUGCCGUUGAUACUGCUUUUCUUGAGUUCGGGAGAGGUUGAUGGAAUUCCAGGUGUAGCGGUGAAAUGCGUAGAUAUCGGGAGGAACACCUGUGGCGAAGGCGGCCCCCUGGUCGGAUACUGACGCUGAGACGCGAAAGCGUGGGGAGCAAACAGG
Molecule: ribosomal RNA, 253 nt
Filed under: uncultured bacterium
Lineage: Bacteria
Description: partial 16S ribosomal RNA
Rfam family: Bacterial small subunit ribosomal RNA
Source: RNAcentral